This 206-nucleotide long non-coding RNA is filed under the name Helianthus annuus (common sunflower). Its description in RNAcentral is "hypothetical non coding rna". The record is from RNAcentral. Lineage: Eukaryota; Viridiplantae; Streptophyta; Magnoliopsida; Asterales; Asteraceae.
UACCACCUCCACCGUCACAAUUACAAUCACCUUCAACCCAUUCUCUGUUGGGGGAAAGAACUGAAAUAAUAACAGAUAGGAGCCGAUGAGACGAAGUUUAUGAAUUGUUAGGGUUUUGAUCCGUUAGGGGAAGUCCUUUAUGGCUAAUGUCGACAGUUCAUCAAGUCAGAGACGAGAUAUUUAAUGCAUGACUUGAUUGUGAGGCG